AAGGUCCAUCUCUUUUUUUGUUUGUGUGAUUGAUUGAUUCACAAUCAAUCAAAUUGAUUGAUUGAUUGAAUGCCUUUCCUUCAAAGAUCAGAGAUAGUGUAACUUUUCAUGCUAAGAACUCUUUAUUACCAGCAAAUAUGGAAAACUUUAAGGCACUCAGAAAUGACUCUGAAAUUCUUCACCUGUAGGUCCUCUGGAGUGAGAGAAUACUUUAGUCAUGCCCACUGCCAUGUGAUGCACACAGAGGCUCUCCUUCCCCUUCAAUUCCUGACAGAGGUCCUGAACUUUGGAGAUACCAGCCCCAUGUGGCAGUGGACACUUGAAAUGCAUUUUCUGUCCAUUGCUCUGUGCCAUGAAUUUAAAAUGCACACACGGGUUGAUGACUUAGAAUGACA
Molecule: long non-coding RNA, 395 nt
Filed under: Marmota monax (woodchuck)
Lineage: Eukaryota; Metazoa; Chordata; Mammalia; Rodentia; Sciuridae
Source: RNAcentral